AUUGAACGCUGGCGGCAGGCCUAACACAUGCAAGUCGAGCGGAGCGGCGGACGGGUGAGUAAUGCCUAGGACUCUGCCUGGAAGGGGGGGAUAACGUCCGGAAACGGGCGCUAAUACCGCAUACUAUCAGAUGAGCCUAGGUAGGAUUAGCUAGUUGGUGGGGUAAAGGACUACCAAGGCGACGAUCCGUAACUGGUCUGAGAGGAUUCUCAGUCACACUUGAAUUGAGCCACCGUCCAGACUCCUACGGGAUGCAGCAGUGGGGAAUUUUGGCCAAAUGGCGUAAUCCUGAUCCUGCCAUGGCGCAUGUGUGAAGAAGGUCUUCGGAUUGUAGUGCACUUUAAGUUUGAAUGCGUUACCAACAGAAUAAGCACCGGCUAACUUCGUGCCAGCAGCCGCGGUGAUUC
RNAcentral lists this ribosomal RNA (407 nucleotides) under uncultured bacterium. Its description in RNAcentral is "partial 16S ribosomal RNA". It matches the Rfam family "Bacterial small subunit ribosomal RNA", at positions 30 to 526 of the family's 1533-position model. The record is from RNAcentral.